GGGAAUGCCAUGGGCGCAGCCUGAUGCAGCCAUGCCGCGUGUAUGAAGAAGGCCUUCGGGUUGUAAAGUACUUUCAGCGGGGAGGAAGGGAGUAAAGUUAAUACCUUUGCUCAUUGACGUUACCCGCAGAAGAAGCACCGGCUAACUCCGUGCCAGCAGCCGCGGUAAUU
RNAcentral lists this ribosomal RNA (170 nucleotides) under uncultured bacterium. RNAcentral's name for it is "partial 16S ribosomal RNA". It matches the Rfam family "Bacterial small subunit ribosomal RNA", at positions 357 to 525 of the family's 1533-position model. The record is from RNAcentral.